RNAcentral lists this ribosomal RNA (349 nucleotides) under uncultured bacterium. Its description in RNAcentral is "bacterial SSU rRNA". It matches the Rfam family "Bacterial small subunit ribosomal RNA", at positions 917 to 1267 of the family's 1533-position model. The record is from RNAcentral.
GGGCCCGCACAAGCGGUGGAGCAUGUGGUUUAAUUCGAUGAUACGCGAGGAACCUUACCAGGGCUUAAAUGUAGAACGACCGAUUUGGAAACAAGUCUUCUCUUUGAGCGGUCUACAAGGUGCUGCAUGGUUGUCGUCAGCUCGUGCCGUGAGGUGUCGGGUUAAGUCCCUUAACGAGCGCAACCCCUAUCUCUAGUUGCCAGCGGAUAAUGCCGGGGACUCUAGAGAAACUGCCCGUGCAAACGGUGAGGAAGGUGGGGAUGACGUCAAAUCAUCACGGCCCUUACGUCCUGGGCUACACACGUGCUACAAUGGUCGGUACAGAGGGCAGCUACCACGUGAGUGGAUG